Non-coding RNA from Oryctolagus cuniculus (rabbit), 2182 nucleotides. The record is from RefSeq and is a predicted model, not a curated record. Lineage: Eukaryota; Metazoa; Chordata; Mammalia; Lagomorpha; Leporidae.
AGGCAGGACCGACAGCUGCAAUGCUCACAGCACCCCUGUCUCCUCUCUCAGCCUUGUUUUCCUUCCUGGCUUCUGCUGUUAUCUAGUGGCCGUGCAAUUCACUUAUUUACUUUGUUCCUUGUUUACUGCCCCCACUGGAGUCUGGGCUCCCCAGGAGAGGCGAAUCUGUGCUCUCUUGUUCCCUGGGGCCCGGCUCAAUGUCUAGGACAGUGCCGGGCACAUAUGGAGGCACUGAGUGAAUGUUGUUUGGACCACCGUGUACCUCCGGAGUGGGGGGCUGGUGCAUAUCCCCAUGUUCUAAGAUCAGAAAGGAAAGAACGGUGAGGAGAGGAGGGAAGACGAGGGGGCCGCAGCUUCCAGGAGAGAGGCUGAGUGGUCGCUUCUACCUAGAGGGCAGGCAGUCCUGCUCCACCUGGCACCCAAGCCAUAGUGCCCGCCUGUGACCACUCCAGCUCCAGAACCAGGGCCACCCAUGUCUUCCCCGCAACCUCCCAUCUUGUCACUUAGGAUCCCGAGUCUUCGGGUCUGCUGAGAAUGGGUUGAGGGUCAAGAGGGAUGGGGAUGGAGGUGAGGCAGGGGGCUGUGGGGACUGGCACUGGCCAUACCACUGGUGGCCCAGAAAGAGGAAGUAGAAGGAAAGACUGAAGUCAAACUGCACAGUGAAAAAGAGGCAGAAAGCCACCAAAAAACCCAGAGACAGACAAACAGACAGAGAGUGAGAAACGGGGACGGACAGGGACAGAGUAGGGGAACCCUCUCUCGGGACGCCAGAGGCCCGGGACUAAAAACUACAUUUCCCAGAAUGCCAUGUGGCUCGCGCACACGCGGGAGGCGUUUCCUGACGCAAGCUUAGGUUCCACCAAUCAGAUGCCUCCGCGGGAAGCUUGAAUCGCUACCCUGGGUGAGCGGGGACAGAGGCAGCCCUGGCAGCCGCUCCACUACUGCGGAUCGCGGCUGGGCUGUGUGGCUGUGGAGCCCGGGCUGGCUCCCUCCUUGCGCAUGGGGAGCAGUGGUUCCUGGGCGGCCCUUUCUGGGGUGGUUUGGGGACUCUCUGGAGGCGGACCGGGAGGGAAAGCAAUGCAGACACAGGCAGAGACCGGGAAAGGCUGCCAACUCAAGCAAAGGAGGCCCGGUUUCACUGGGAUUUUACAUCAGCCACUGCUCUUCUCAUUGUGUGGGGGUCUGUGGUGACCUCCCCGAGCACAGACAUUUCCUCCGUCAGGGACUGAUGGGGAGAUUCGCACGUGGACUCCUGGAAUAUUCCAGAAGGGCCCUUAGCGCUGACCAUGGACGGCCACGGUGCUCGGUGAGCCACUUCCAAACCGACUUGGCAGUGCCCAAGGGGAGCCCACCAGAACGUCCUGCUCCGUCAACACCACCAAAUCAACGCCGCCCCAUCCCUCGGGCCGCCGGAAGCCGAGCAGCCCAGGGGCCCUAACCCUGGCUCGCCGACCUCUGACACAGUCACGGCAGUCUGGCUCACCAGAGUCAGCGACACAAAGCCACACAGACACAGGCAUGCACACGGAAGGCAGCGCGGCUCCACCCCCCCCCCCGCCCCCCCGCCCUGCCUCCCCAGCCCGGACGGGUCCGCGGACUCGGUGUGGCUGCGUGGAGGUGGAGGUGACCUGGACCGUACUGUUUUUUUUUUUCCUUAGAGUCCUCCAGAUUAGAUUCCAGUCCUGCCCCUUAUUCUUUUCCUUAGUCCACCCCCAGGCCAACACCCAGCAAAGGGGGUGUGGGUGGAGAAGAGGGGCGCGGCACUGGCUCCCAUCCCGUGCAUCCCCAGUGACGUCACAGAACGUGGCCUGGGGGCUCCACGGAAGCAUGAGCCCCCCGGGCUGUCAACGAAGUAGCCUCCAAGGCAGAGCCCACUGGGGCAGAAUCGCAGAGGCACCUGUCUCUCAUUGUCACCGGAAGUGACCUCUGGGGAACUUCUGACGUCACGAGGACUGCCCGGAAGCACAUCAGAAGAAAGGAAGAGUGCGGUCAGCCUACCCCGUCCCCGGAGGAGCAGGAGACACGAAGCCGAGGUUGAUGCCCUCCGGCUUCUGGGACAGCUGCACCCACGCGCCCGACUGUUCCAUCACGGCUUUCACGGUCGCGCCCCCUUUGCCGAUGAUCAAGCCUGCGGUGCUGUUGGGGACAAUCAGCUUGGCCUGCGUGGGGAGCAAGAGAGAGG